Molecule: ribosomal RNA, 460 nt
Filed under: uncultured Bdellovibrio sp.
Lineage: Bacteria; Pseudomonadati; Bdellovibrionota; Bdellovibrionia; Bdellovibrionales; Pseudobdellovibrionaceae
Description: bacterial SSU rRNA
Rfam family: Bacterial small subunit ribosomal RNA
Source: RNAcentral
AACAAACGCUGGCGGCGUGCCUAAUACAUGCAAGUCGAACGAAGAAAGCCCUUCGGGGCAAGUAAGAGUGGCGCACGGGUGAGUAACGCGUGGAUAAUCUGCCCUCGAGUGGGGAACAACUUACCGAAAGGUAGGCUAAUACCGCAUAAGACCACAGGAGCUGCGGCUUCAGGGGUCAAAGAUUUAUCGCUUGAGGAUGAGUCCGCGUAGGAUUAGCUUGUUGGUGAGGUAAAAGCUCACCAAGGCGACGAUCUUUAGCUGGUUUGAGAGGAUGAUCAGCCACACUGGAACUGAGACACGGUCCAGACUCCUACGGGAGGCAGCAGUAGGGAAUAUUGCGCAAUGGGGGAAACCCUGACGCAGCAACGCCGCGUGUGUGAUGAAGGCUUUAGGGUCGUAAAGCACUGUCGUAAGGGAAUAAUUUUGAAGGUACCUUACAAGAAAGGACCGGCUAACUCCG